Helianthus annuus (common sunflower) is the source of this 1437-nucleotide long non-coding RNA. RefSeq lists it as uncharacterized. NCBI's taxonomy places the organism in Eukaryota, Viridiplantae, Streptophyta, Magnoliopsida, Asterales, Asteraceae. The record is from RefSeq and is a predicted model, not a curated record. The transcript is spliced from 2 exons.
AUAAAUUCUUCGAUGCACACUGUUCUUUGCUGAUUUAUUGAAUCUAGAAUGUAAUUUUGUGUUUGAGCGUAAAAAUUUUGUUAUAAUUUGCGUUUGUUGUUAGCUAAUUUUGGAUUUUGUAGGUUCGUACUUUUCUAGGGUUUCAAAAUAUUCAACUCAUUUCCAUCUUUGAAUUUAUCUAAUUGGUAUGCCGAUGCAUUACUGAUAAGAGUUGGGUUAUGAAUAUAGCUCAAAUCUAUAGGAGAUAACAUAUUGGUUGGUAUAAUCGCCCGUGUUUAUGUCAAGCUUUAAUUUAGAUGGUAAUUGGUUAGGAUUUUAGCUUCCUGUAGACUCCAACCUGGAUUAAAUACUAUCAAACAUUCAAUACCAUCAUCAAUACCAUGGUGGUUAUGAACUUGUGCAAUUGUACAUGUACUAAUGACCUUUUUUAAACAGGCGAGACCCCACUUUAAUUCGAUACAGAGCUUUAUUACAUAUCUAGCUGCUUAAAACUGAAGAUCAAACAAAUAUAUGGUAUUUGUUACUGCUGACCGCACCUUUUUGCCCUUCAAGAACUGUUUUCUUAUUAUCCCUUUCUAAUAACAUCCCCGUUAGCACUACCGGCCGACGUUUAUACAUCUGUGUUGAUUUAUUUGACAAAAACCUAAGAGGACAGUGAUUGAAGAGCAGGAAUGCAGAGAUCUGGGUCCCACUGUCGAUUUUACACCUAUCAGUCCAUAAUUUCAAUUUUUGUCUGUUGAAGAUGAUUUGAUGAGUUUUAAAGGCUGUGAUGAUCAAUUUCAAUGCUUUUGAGUGAAAUCCAGCAAAGAUGAGAUUGUCCGCAUCUUGGCAUGGCAACCAGUAGGUAUGCAGCCAUGGCGGAUUUAUCCACUCUGUUCGAUUGUUACAGAUCUGAGCCUCAUAAUCGUUUUAUAACAUCGACAACAGUACUGGUAUACACCUGUCAUGUUUUCUGGUUUUGGUACAUUCAAUGAUGCCAGCACUGAACGCACAAAAGCGGUACGAUUGCUGGUUGGUUUUGACUUACUUGGCCGAAACCAAGCAGGUUUUGCUCAAAAUCCGGUUUGUGCACCUCUACAAUCAACCGUCACUUUAUAAGUAUACAAGAUUAAUUGUUGGAAUUCACAUGGCUUGCUUGGAAACUGGCCGGAAUUUAGAGGUUUUGGUCGGAAUAUACAAGUUUUUUGCCGGAAUCGCCGAUUAUUGGUUGGCCGACUAGCGAUUAAUAGACUGAUUAACGAAAAAUUACUCGGUUACUGGCCGACUAGUCGCCGCCUAGUCGCGAUUUUUACAACACUGCUUUAUAUAGUGCUGGAUGUUGUCAUAGUUGUCAAUAGCGAUCGCUAUAGCGCGCUACCCUAUUAUUGUUGUAGCGAUGGAUAGCGAGAAUAUCGACACUUAUUUAUUUAUUUUUUUUAUAUAAAUAGCAAUUAAAUA